AGCAAAGGAAACACCCAGAAUCAACAUUCAACAUUGCUCUUAAAGUACAUUACAGCCUUCCUGAAGAGGUGUGAUUCCACUUCAUUCAUGCAGGUGUAUCCCAGGAGAAGAGAAAUAGAAAUAUGUUUUGUGGAAUCAGUAAAAGGAAGAGUGGACCACAGUUUGGAUUUUGUUUCCAAACUGAGAAAAUUUUGUGAAGACAGAAAAUUCUUGUGGAUGAGAAGUGUUAGAGUACCAUCUUGCUGGAGUCAUAUUUACAAUCAGCUGCAAGUUAGUUCAUUUUCCACAUCCCUGAAUGUUCCUUCUGUAAGUGCCAAGAGGAAAUGCUUUUCAUGAUGAGUCUUUUCUACACCAAAAUGUCAGUAAAAAUGAUAAUUUUCUAUAAAGUCCGGCCA
This 395-nucleotide long non-coding RNA is filed under the name Anas platyrhynchos platyrhynchos (common mallard). RNAcentral describes it as "lncRNA (ENSAPLG00000028913.1)". The record is from RNAcentral. Lineage: Eukaryota; Metazoa; Chordata; Aves; Anseriformes; Anatidae.